This 412-nucleotide ribosomal RNA is filed under the name uncultured bacterium. Its description in RNAcentral is "partial 16S ribosomal RNA". The record is from RNAcentral.
CCCUUUCAAUUUCUUUGAGUUUCACUCUUGCGAGCGUACUCCCCAGGUGGCUAACUUAUCACUUUCGCUUGGUCUCUGAAGCUUGCGCUCCAAAAACGAGUUAGCAUCGUUUACGGCGUGGACUACCAGGGUAUCUAAUCCUGUUCGCUCCCCACGCUUUCGUCCCUCAGCGUCAGUUAUAUCUUGGUAACCUGCCUUCGCAAUUGGUGUUCUAAGUAAUAUCUAUGCAUUUCACCGCUACACUGCUUAUUCCAGCUACCUCAAAUAUACUCAAGACUUACAGUAUCAAUGGCAGUUCUAUCGUUAAGCGACAGGCUUUCACCACUGACUUAUAAGUCCGCCUACGGACCCUUUAAACCCAAUAAAUCCGGAUAACGCUUGCACCCUCCGUAUUACCGCGGCGGCUGGCACA